ACGCACGCUGGCGGCGUGCCUAAUGCAUGCAAGUUGAGCGCUGAAGGUUGGUACUUGUACCAACUGGAUGAGCAGCGAACGGGUGAGUAACGCGUGGGGAAUCUGCCUUUGAGCAGGGGACAACAUUUGGAAACGAAUGCUAAUACCGCAUAAAAACUUUAAACACAAGUUUUAAGUUUGAAAGAUGCAAUUGCAUCACUCAAAGAUGAUCCCGCGUUGUAUUAGCUAGUUGGUGAGGUAAAGGCUCACCAAGGCGAUGAUACAUAGCCGACCUGAGAGGGUGAUCGGCCACAUUGGGACUGAGACACGGCCCAAACUCCUACGGGAGGCAGCAGUAGGGAAUCUUCGGCAAUGGACGAAAGUCUGACCGAGCAACGCCGCGGGAGUGAAGAAGGGUUUCGGAUCGUAAAACUCUGUUGGUAGAGAAGAACGUUGGUGAGAGUGGAAAGCUCACCAAGUGACGGUAACUACCCAGAAAGGGACGGCUAACUACGUG
This 496-nucleotide ribosomal RNA is filed under the name uncultured bacterium. RNAcentral's name for it is "partial 16S ribosomal RNA". It matches the Rfam family "Bacterial small subunit ribosomal RNA", at positions 29 to 507 of the family's 1533-position model. The record is from RNAcentral.